UACGAAGGGGGCGAGCGUUGUUCGGAAUUACUGGGCGUAAAGGGCGCGCAGGCGGCCGAUCAAGUCAGGCGUGAAAGCCCCGGGCUUAACCUGGGAAUUGCGCUUGGGACUGAUGGGCUUGAGUUCGGGAGAGGAGAGUGGAAUUCCCAGUGUAGAGGUGAAAUUCGUAGAUAUUGGGAAGAACACCGGUGGCGAAGGCGGCUUUCUGGACAGUAACUGACGCUGAGGCGCGAAAGCUAGGGGAGCAAACAGG
RNAcentral lists this ribosomal RNA (253 nucleotides) under uncultured bacterium. RNAcentral describes it as "partial 16S ribosomal RNA". It matches the Rfam family "Bacterial small subunit ribosomal RNA", at positions 524 to 776 of the family's 1533-position model. The record is from RNAcentral.